UACACUCCUACGGGAGGCAGCAGUGGGGAAUAUUGGACAAUGGGCGCAAGCCUGAUCCAGCCAUGCCGCGUGAGUGAUGAAGGCCCUAGGGUUGUAAAGCUCUUUCACCGGUGAAGAUAAUGACGGUAACCGGAGAAGAAGCCCCGGCUAACUUCGUGCCAGCAGCCGCGGUAAUACGAAGGGGGCUAGCGUUGUUCGGAUUUACUGGGCGUAAAGCGCACGUAGGCGGACUAUUAAGUCAGGGGUGAAAUCCCGGGGCUCAACCCCGGAACUGCCUUUGAUACUGGUAGUCUUGAGUUCGAGAGAGGUGAGUGGAAUUCCGAGUGUAGAGGUGAAAUUCGUAGAUAUUCGGAGGAACACCAGUGGCGAAGGCGGCUCACUGGCUCGAUACUGACGCUGAGGUGCGAAAGCGUGGGGAGCAAACAGGAUUAGAAACCCCUGUAGUCCCAUGA
RNAcentral lists this ribosomal RNA (452 nucleotides) under uncultured organism. RNAcentral describes it as "partial 16S ribosomal RNA". It matches the Rfam family "Bacterial small subunit ribosomal RNA", at positions 332 to 800 of the family's 1533-position model. The record is from RNAcentral.